AUGGCCAGGACAGCGACGGUGUGGGUGUGGGUGCUGGUCAUAGUGGUUGUGGUGGCGGGUGCAAUGGCGGCAAAGCCACGACACCCGGAGAAGCUUACUCCUUGCAGGACGGCGAACAAAUACGGUACUGCGCCCUCGGCGUUGUGUUGCUUUAACCUCUGGGCGCAGAAACAGUUCCUUUGCCUGUACUUGGCUAAUCCGAGGUACCAGCGCUACUUCGCGGGCAGCUUCGCCCGCAACACCGUCGUCUCCUGCGGCAUCCCCCUUCCACAGUUUUUCACGGGGCCUUCUGCCCCUCAAGCAAACGCGCCAUCGUCUGCAGUCCGUGGCGCCGUGCGUUCAGCGCUCCUGGCGCGCAGCUCAACCGCCAACCCCUUCACCAUGAACAUGGGUGGCACGUUUUUGUGGGCAUCAACUCGUGACAUCUGUGGCUGUGCUACUCGUGUGUUCUCGCCGAAACGGGUCAAGCGAGGGAUGGCAACGGCUCCUGUACGGCGUGGCGACCCGGGAGGCGAUUCCGAGGGCGUGGAUGUGGCAGCCCUCGGCGUGGCGGCGAGUGGCUGGACGGCGGUGUGCCCAGGUGAGGGGCUGGCGCAGCGGCGCCCGGCGGCGGGUGCGCGGCCUCCGGCUCCUUCUUCCUCGGGCAGCAGGUUCUGGGCGCUGUUGGGGGCCGAUCCCGACGACGACGAAGACGAGGAAGACCAGGUAAGUAGUCAGGUAAGUGAUGGGGGUUCGCCGAUGCCUCGUGUGGAGUGCUCGGUGGGUGACUUUGUCGCCCGGGUGGAGGAGCUUGGGGGCUCCUUCAAGGCCGGCCGCCGCCGUGCUUUCGCACCUGGUGGCCAUGGCAGGCGUCGCCAGGCGGUGCAGAUCUGGUGGCCGCCCAGGGGGGUGGACGCGGGCCCGGAGGGGCGUGCCUGUGCACUUCCGAUGGAGGGCCGGUGUGGCAUGGUGAUGUCGUCGUGGCCUUCGGUCUCGACGUGCUCGUCGUCGCCGUCAGGGGACGGUGGCGACGAUGGCGGCGGCGUCGCCCCCGCCAGGGAGCGGAGUCCCCAACCUAGGGUUGCGGUGGAUGGACCGGGAGUCGGGGUGGCGCUGGUGAGUGGGCCGUGCUCCCCUGGGCCGCAGGCCAAGUUCCCUCCCGUGGCUGAGCCCAGGCCCAGUGCGGGGUCAGACGCGCAGCGGCCGCCUCCCAUAUAUAAGUGGCUGUGGCUGCCGCGGGGUGCCCUAGAUCUCACACUAGGGUUUCCCGCAUCCCACUCGCAGGUGCGGCACUUCGGGCAUCUCGCUCGGCGUCUGAUCCGCUCCGCUCCUCCUCCUCCCCUCGAGAACUCAUUCGCGGUGGUGGUCCGGAUGGGAUCCCGACGCGUUGAGAAGCCGCCCAUGUCCCCUCCGAUUCCGGCGGCUGAGUGCCAGCGGGAGCUGGAUCUGCGGGCGCAGGCGCUCUCCAAGAGGCCAGCGGGCCAGCGGAGGACGGGGGAUGGGGGCCGCCGCCUCCCUGGUGGCUGGCUGAGCAAGAGUGGAAGCAGCAGGAGGAGCGCGAGCGCAAGAGGAAGAAGGAGGACCUUGUGGGACAAGCUGGGCCUCAAGGACAAGGAUCCGGAGGUCGUUGCCCCUGCGGGAGGGGGUGUGACUGACAUGGGCGAGCGGCAGGUCGGAGUUGGCAGCAAUGAGACGACGUUCAACCAGUACGGCUCCAACAUGUUGCUUGGCCUGGAGGGUGACAAGGGCUUCUCGGCCUCCUUCGACUCGGGGGGACGCUCGAUGCUCCUUUCCCCGGCGGGGAUGGAUGUGGGAGGAGUGCCCGCGCUCGGGGUGCGCUCUCCUCCUCCCCAGGCUGCGGUGGUCAAUGCUGGUGGAGCCAGGCGGGCUCCCAAGAAGACGGCGGGCCGCAAGACCCCCACGGUGGCGCCAGCGAUCCCCCCGUGGGUCGGUGCGGGCGCUCCGGCCUCGCUUUGGCCGAUGAUGAUCGCGCUGGCCUCUCCUGCUGGGAAGGCGGGCGGGUCGACGACGCCCGCCCCUCCUUCCUCCUCCGAUGCGCUUCGGGAAGCGGUGUCCAAGACGACGCCCAUCUCCACGGCCAAGCGCUCCAAGGCGGUGGCGGUGACUUCUCCUUCCCUGGAGCGGGUCAGCUCGUGCGCGAAAGGUGCCAAGGGCAAUCUUCCUUCGCUUCAGCGCGCCCAACUCCUCUUGGAGCAAAAGAACAUGGAGCUCGAAGGUAACCCCCACCUCGCUUUACGAUUUUUGAAGAUUACUCUGAUGAGCGCUUAG
This 2268-nucleotide ribosomal RNA is filed under the name Triticum aestivum (bread wheat). RNAcentral's name for it is "partial small subunit ribosomal RNA". The record is from RNAcentral. Lineage: Eukaryota; Viridiplantae; Streptophyta; Magnoliopsida; Poales; Poaceae.